GAACGCAAUUUACAUAUUCAACAAUAAAGGUUCAUAGCCACUGUGAUUUAUAUAUGUGUACAGAAACAAAAAACGUAAAAGCCACUGCGAUCCAGGUAGUGCUACACCCGCUCGCUGCCGCCUUCUUCCACCACCCCUGCCAACCACUCCCUCCGCGAUAUCCAGCAACUAGCCUUGUGCCGGAGACGCCUCACCUACUGCCACUCACAGUGCUCACAAUAACGCCACCACCACUGCUUCAAAUCGUCGCCGCUACUAUCUCAAGUCAGAGCCAGCAACGAGGCUCAUUGCCGACAAAGAUGGCACGAGGGAGAAGAAGACGAGAAUGGUGGAGAAUAAGAGUGGCAUCUACUUUUUAGGUAAAUCGAUGGGGCUUUUAUCGUUUUGUUGGAAAACUUGUAAAUCCCAGCAACUCACUACAAUUUACGUGUGCACUAAUGUGAAAAAAGUUUGAACUUGAAUGAAUUUAAAUCGCUCCGAUUUGUGCUGAUUUCUCUU
This is a non-coding RNA of Arachis ipaensis, 498 nucleotides long. Lineage: Eukaryota; Viridiplantae; Streptophyta; Magnoliopsida; Fabales; Fabaceae. The record is from RefSeq and is a predicted model, not a curated record.